GGGUGUCAUGCUUUUGAUCUGAACAUCUCAGGCCUCCUUAGGGACACAAAUGAAUUCAUCUCUUCAGCACUGCCUGUAAAGGAGGGAAGAGCAAUUCUCUGUUUUGUAGAGCUAUUUUUUGGACGUGGUUUUGGACAGACACCCAAGUGUUUAGCAGUCCAUUUACUCUCUUAUUCAUUCAACAGAUAUUUACUGGCUGCCUACUCUGUACCAAAGAGCGAACAUGAAACUCUGCCCUGCCCACGGGGACACAGCCAGCUGGGGAGACAAGAUGGGACACGCACACGAAGCUUAAAAACACCACCAAGAGCAAGGCUUCAGCUGUGGCUCUCCAAAGGAGUGGCAGAGAUGAUCGACCUGUUCCCCUGGAUUGUCCAAGAAGAAGCCACCGGGACAGCUGGUGACCCUCCCUUUCCAUUCGUCGGUCAGAGCUGGCUUCCCUCCACCUGCUCCAGCCACGGUCGGCGGCCCCUCCUGACGUUAGCAUCUCCAUUUCUGCCGCUGAGUUUUCUUUCAUUUCUUGGUUGGUCCCUGGCUUGUAUAAAUUUUCUUUUCUUUCUUUUUUUUAACCUGAUGAAUUUUUUCACAUCAUGUGGUCGUUUGGAAUGCUGUCUGGUGGGUCUCUCCUUUUACAGCCAUUCCGCAGUAUCAGGGGGAUUCAUUCCAGGACCCCCAGAGGUACCAACAUCCAUAUGAUGUAGUAUUUUCAUAAAACCUACGCAUAUCCUCCUAUGUACUUUAUUAUUAUUAUUAUUUUAAUCUUUUUAGGGAUACACUUGAGGCAUAUGGAGGUUCCCAGGCUGGGGGUCGAGUCGGAGCUACAGCUGCCACCCUACACCACAGCCACAGCAAUUCGGGGUUCUAGACGCAUCUGUGACCUUCACCACAGCUCACGGCAAUGCACAGCAACACUGGAUCCUUCACUCACUGAGCAAGGCCAGGGAUCAAACCUACGUCCUCAUGGCUGCUUGUCAGAUUCGUUUCCACUGAGCCACCGAGGGGAACGCCUGUGGUCUUAGGCUUUAAGUCAACUCUAGUUGGCUUAUACUACAUCAUACAAUGUAAAUGCUGUGUAAACAGCUGUGCAUACAAUGUAAAUGCUUUGUAAAUAGUUGAAUCGAAUUUUGCUUUGGGGAACUUUCUGGAAUUAAAAAAAAAAUUAUUUUUGAUCUGUGGUUGGUUGAAUCUGCGGAUGUGGAACCACAGAUACCAAGGGCCAUUGGAGCUGAACUGCC
Molecule: long non-coding RNA, 1235 nt
Filed under: Sus scrofa (pig)
Lineage: Eukaryota; Metazoa; Chordata; Mammalia; Artiodactyla; Suidae
Description: lncRNA (ENSSSCG00035052364.1)
Source: RNAcentral